AUGCUGACGGAGAUGGCGCGCGGACCGCAGCCGCCGCUCAAGAAGCGCCCGCGCGAGGCCGCCCAUAGACCGCAUCCGCGCGUUUCUCGAACGCCGCGGCGAAGCGUUGGAAAGCGGCGUCGAACAUCGCGCCCAUCAGCACCGCGAGCAUCCGACUCCUGAACUCGUAGGCGAUGAAGAAUCCGACGACGCAGGCAUCAUCGGAUU
Molecule: unclassified non-coding RNA, 207 nt
Filed under: Hevea brasiliensis (rubber tree)
Lineage: Eukaryota; Viridiplantae; Streptophyta; Magnoliopsida; Malpighiales; Euphorbiaceae
Source: RNAcentral